CCUACGGGGGGCUGCAGUCGAGAAUCAUUCACAAUGGGGGAAACCCUGAUGGUGCGACGCCGCGUGGGGGAAUGAAGGUCUUCGGAUUGUAAACCUCUGUCAUGUGGGAGCAAAUUAAAAAGAUAGUACCACAAGAGGAAGAGACGGCUAACUCUGUGCCAGCAGCCGCGGUAAUACAGAGGUCUCAAGCGUUGUUCGGAAUCACUGGGCGUAAGGCGUGCGUAGGCUGUUUCGUAAGUCGUGUGUGAAAGGCGCGGGCUCAACCGGCGGACGGCACAUGAUACUGGGAGACUAGAGUAAUGGAGGGGGAACCGGAAUUCGCGGUGUAGCAGUGAAAUGCGUAGAUAUCGAGAGGAACACUCGUGGCGAAGGCAGGUUCCUGGACAUUAACUGACGCUGAGGCACGAAGGCCAGGGGAGCGAAAGGGAUUAGAUACCCCAGUAGUC
RNAcentral lists this ribosomal RNA (446 nucleotides) under uncultured bacterium. RNAcentral describes it as "partial 16S ribosomal RNA". It matches the Rfam family "Bacterial small subunit ribosomal RNA", at positions 338 to 795 of the family's 1533-position model. The record is from RNAcentral.